Molecule: long non-coding RNA, 253 nt
Filed under: Mytilus galloprovincialis (Mediterranean mussel)
Lineage: Eukaryota; Metazoa; Mollusca; Bivalvia; Mytilida; Mytilidae
Source: RNAcentral
CUUCAAGCACCUGCAUAGCCAUUUUUACUCAGUAAAAUAGAAGAUAAAGGGGGGGGGGGUCAAAUAUUUAUUCAUCAUAUAUAGUUCAAAGUUAAAGUGAUCAGCCAUCAUAUAUAGUUCAAAGAUAAAGUGAUCAGCCAUCAUACAUAGUUGGCAAAAAGUACCUCUGCUUUAGCCACAUUGUCAACUUUAGUACCACUACUGAACAUGUUUGUAAAAGAAGGUGUUGAAUUGAUAGAGUUGUGGGCUUUCU